GUGGAAGGCUGGAAGCAUGCUUGGAGAGAACUCUCUGUAUCAGUUACUAUACAGCAUGUGCACAGUGCUAAAAGGAAGUUAUAUAGCUCCUAUUCCACAACAUGUCACCAUGCUGCACAGUGGAGAGCUGGCAGCCUUAGGCCUGGGGAGCAAGUCCAGUCAAGGUGCCCAUGGAUCAGAUGGGCCGCCAGCCGCUGUCAAAGCACCUGACAAAGACUGACAACUGGUGUAUGGAAAACUGGAAUAAGCACUUGGAAGAAGAAAACCAACAACUGAGACAACUAAUUGUUACAGGCAAGUCAAUAUACCUACCUCUCAGCUAGAUUUUCCUGGCGUAAUGGAUACUUUGAAAACCACAAGAGCGCAGCUAAUAGCACUGAAGGUGGCAGUUCAUACUGUGUGGGACAGAAGGUUAUGCACACGAUACACCCAUCUGAAGAGUUGAGCUCAUCUGCUUGUCAAGUGUCGUACUCUAGGCCUAAACAGCUGCUACUUUGACAACGUUUCCUGGGACUUCAUAAGGUGUGAUCAGUGACGCUGUUACGAGAAAAAUUGCGGCGUUGAAAUAUCACCUGAAGGGAAACAUCAGGAACCUCAUCAGAAUACCACAAAUAAACUUUUAUGUCAUUAAUGUCAUUUACCACAGUUAACACCACUUUCUAUUCCCUGUGUUGUAGUUUUUGUAUAUUUACAUGAUAAUAAAGUUGUGUGUAUUGUA
Rana temporaria (common frog) is the source of this 718-nucleotide long non-coding RNA. RefSeq lists it as uncharacterized. NCBI's taxonomy places the organism in Eukaryota, Metazoa, Chordata, Amphibia, Anura, Ranidae. The record is from RefSeq and is a predicted model, not a curated record. The transcript has 5 exons.